Molecule: ribosomal RNA, 408 nt
Filed under: uncultured soil bacterium
Lineage: Bacteria
Description: bacterial SSU rRNA
Rfam family: Bacterial small subunit ribosomal RNA
Source: RNAcentral
CAGCAGCCGCGGUAAUACGAAGGGGGCUAGCGUUGCUCGGAAUCACUGGGCGUAAAGGGCGCGUAGGCGGCGGCCGCAGUCGGGCGUGAAAUCCCCGGGCUCAACCCGGGGGCUGCGCCCGAGACGCGGCGGCUGGAGGACGGGAGAGGCUCGCGGAAUUCCCAGUGUAGAGGUGAAAUUCGUAGAUAUUGGGAAGAACACCGGUGGCGAAGGCGGCGAGCUGGCCCGUACCUGACGCUGAGGCGCGACAGCGUGGGGAGCAAACAGGAUUAGAUACCCUGGUAGUCCACGCCGUAAACGAUGUGCGCUGGGUGUUGGGGCCCCUAGGGCCUCAGUGCCGCAGCCAACGCGGUAAGUGCACCGCCUGGGGAGUACGGCCGCAAGGUUGAAACUCAAAUGAAUUGACGG